CCACAAAAGGUNNNAGUUCAUCUAGACAGCAGGACGGUGGCCAUGGAAGUCGGAAUCCGCUAAGGAGUGUGUAACAACUCACCUGCCGAAUGAACUAGCCCUGAAAAUGGAUGGCGCUUAA
This is a non-coding RNA of Rhizopus microsporus, 121 nucleotides long. Lineage: Eukaryota; Fungi; Mucoromycota; Mucoromycetes; Mucorales; Rhizopodaceae. The record is from Rfam.